AUUGAACGCUGGCGGCAUGCCUUACACAUGCAAGUCGAACGGCAGCACGGGAGCAAUCCUGGUGGCGAGUGGCGAACGGGUGAGUAAAGUAUCGGAACGUGCCCAGUCGUGGGGGAUAACGUAGCGAAAGUUACGCUAAUACCGCAUACGAUCUAUGGAUGAAAGCGGGGGAUCGCAAGACCUCGCGCGAUUGGAGCGGCCGAUAUCAGAGUAGGUAGUUGGGGGGGUAAAGGCUCACCAAGCCGACGAUCUGUAGCUGGUCUGGGAGGACGACCAGCCACACUGGGACUGAGACACGGCCCAGACUCCUACGGGAGGCAGCAGUGGGGAAUUUUGGACAAUGGGCGAAAGCCUGAUCCAGCCAUGCCGCGUGCAGGAUGAAGGCCUUCGGGUUGUAAGCUGCUUUUGUACGGAACGAAAAGGUUUGGCCUAAUAAGCUGAGCUCAUGACGGUACCGUAAGAAUAAGCACCGGCUAACUACGUGCCAGCCGCCGCGGUAA
This 500-nucleotide ribosomal RNA is filed under the name uncultured bacterium. Its description in RNAcentral is "partial 16S ribosomal RNA". It matches the Rfam family "Bacterial small subunit ribosomal RNA", at positions 29 to 523 of the family's 1533-position model. The record is from RNAcentral.